This 72-nucleotide transfer RNA is filed under the name Camelus bactrianus (Bactrian camel). It matches the Rfam family "tRNA". From Rfam's summary of the family: Transfer RNA (tRNA) molecules are approximately 80 nucleotides in length. Their secondary structure includes four short double-helical elements and three loops (D, anti-codon, and T loops). Further hydrogen bonds mediate the characteristic L-shaped molecular structure. tRNAs have two regions of fundamental functional importance: the anti-codon, which is responsible for specific mRNA codon recognition, and the 3' end, to which the tRNAs corresponding amino acid is attached (by aminoacyl-tRNA synthetases). tRNAs cope with the degeneracy of the genetic code in two manners: having more than one tRNA (with a specific anti-codon) for a particular amino acid; and 'wobble' base-pairing, i.e. permitting non-standard base-pairing at the 3rd anti-codon position. RNAcentral also lists the same sequence under 2 other names. The record is from Rfam by way of RNAcentral. Lineage: Eukaryota; Metazoa; Chordata; Mammalia; Artiodactyla; Camelidae.
GGGGGUCUAGCUCAGGGGUAGAGUGCGUGCUUAGCAUGCAUGAGGUCCUGGGUUCAAGCUCCAGUCCCUCCU